RNAcentral lists this small RNA (124 nucleotides) under Marmota monax (woodchuck). Lineage: Eukaryota; Metazoa; Chordata; Mammalia; Rodentia; Sciuridae. The record is from RNAcentral.
GCCAGGUGUGGUGGUGCAUGCCUGUAAUUCCAGCAGCUUGGGAGGCUGAGGUAGGAGGAUAUUGAGUUCAAAGCCAGCCUCAGUGAAGAGAAGCGCUAAGCAACUCAGUGACACCCUGUCUCUA